RNAcentral lists this long non-coding RNA (5203 nucleotides) under Gossypium barbadense (sea-island cotton). RNAcentral describes it as "long non-coding RNA (GBAR_LNC021900)". The record is from RNAcentral. Lineage: Eukaryota; Viridiplantae; Streptophyta; Magnoliopsida; Malvales; Malvaceae.
GACUCAGAGAUGAUGGCGGAGGCAAGAGGACCUGUUAUUUCGUGUAGAUGCAGCAAAACCGAAGACUGUCAGGGUAUUUGCGCCGUGUGCCCAAACUAUAGCUGCAUUAAAAACAUUUGUACUUGCCUUUCAAACGCACCUCCAUUUCCAUAGUCUUAGAAUCUACACACUCCAACAGUUGAAUGAAAUGGUGGGAUUUUUUUUGUGUAAUUUGAAAUAAAUUAUCAUGCAAUGGAUCUAAUAAGAAAAAAUAUUGUAAUUAGGGUAAUUUUAAUUUUCUUUUUACCCGUCUCUGCCCCUCCCCCCCUUUCCAGUAGCGAAAAGCAUGUUACAUUUAAAAUCUAUAAAAAGAGUUACAAUCUUGUUUUAAAACUAAAAGAAAUAAUAGUAAGAAGAAAAGAUAGGAGAAAAAUUAAGACACAAAAUGAUAUGAUAAUUCUUCUUUCUACUUGUAUCUCAUAAGCUUCUAUAUGGCUUCAAUCUAUAGGGCUUCAACAAUGAUAGGCUAAAAUAAUAUAAAUAGGAAUAUCAAAACUCGCAAUAAAUUGAAUGGGUAUUUCAUAAGUUGCAAGUUCCACCGUAUUCUUUUGGUGGGGACACUUUGUUAAUUUAUCAACAACACUCUGCACUAGAUGUGUAUCAAAUGGAAACGUGCUCUGUUAAAACUUUAUUAGAAAAAAUUGCAUAAGCACCUAUUAUAAUCUAAAACUUUAAAAACAUUUUCUAGGAAAACUUAGCUGGACAAUACCUUGGGUAAAGGAAAGAGUAAACAUGUUUUAGACUCCCCCUAAUUUUAAAAAUAUUGAAACAUGGUACAAAUUUUGAAACAAUUUUUUGUUGCUAAAUACUUCGUCAAAGAGAAUCAUACUAUGAAGACAUGCCUUUUUAAUUACAAUGAUAACCAUUGAGUUUCAUUGUAUACUCUAGGUUCAUUUGCCAAUAGCUCUUUUGCACAACAUAAUAUAGGUGGGGGCGAAUCAAACUUUAAAUUAAGCGACAUUAAUACAUGCAUUAAAGCCUCCAUUAAUUUCUUAUAAGUUUAUUUUUAUAUCCACAAUCAACAUUUUUCUUAUGCGGACAUGAUACCUUGCUAUUGCAUAUCACUUAAGGAAAACUGUAUAUUAAAUUUAGCCUCAUGGCUUUGGAGAUUUCUACAUCCUAUCUCUCUUUCUUACUCCGUUGCAAGGAUGUUCAUGUAGACCACCUGAUAGAUAGUUGUAUGGUUUCUUUAUUCUUAUUGAAACACAUAUCGAGUCUUUCUUGACAUCACUGUGACUUUAAUAGUCAUUACCAAUAUGGUUUGACUCUUGCAGGUUUCGAGUACAGUGGCGUGUCAUUCGGCCCAAUUAAAGGCUAUUAUUGUUGUUUCAAUUUGAGAUCGCUCUCUUCUAGUUUUUCUUCUUCUUUUCUCAUUUUGGUUUCCUACCCUUUAUAUGCUUGUUGUAGUAUUUUUCCUUAAGUUAAUUUUGGAAAUACAUAGAAUCUAUUGAAUGGAGUGCCAUUAAUCUUAUCAACAUUAUAUCUCAUCAUCUUCUUGCUUGUUUUUAGGAUCUUUAUGGCCAUGGUUAGACAAGAGUUUAUCUAUCUUGUAACACUUAUUUUGGGACAUGCAAUGUGCACAAUUUCUAUAAGUCCUGCUCUUUUACCUGUUGUGUCAAUGAGGCCAUCUUUAGGUAUUUCCCCCUCUAUUUUGUUUCAUUAGUCAAAUUGGAUGUACAGUUAUGAACUUAAAAUCAACCAAUCACUUUUUGUGUUUUUGUAACCUCUCUUUUCAGGUCUGAUAACAUCGAUCAUGAAGUUGAGCUCCUCCGUGGAUAGCCUUGGUUGUUUGUUUCCAUUUUUUCACAAUCUCUUGCAACAAAUUUUGAGAUUUUAAUUGUAUUGAUAGUUUUAUUAGCCUUGUAGCGAGCCCAAGAUACCAACUGCUCCCACCCAUGAUUUUAAAUUUUAAAUACUUUAUUUAAAUGAUUCUGAUGUUUAGAAAUUUAAAAAAUAAACUAAUUUUCUUCUAAAUUUUAUUACUUAGCGAUCCGCUACUUGGGAGCGGAAGAACUUAAACCCUAGGCCAUACAAGACUAAGAAGUCAUCUAGGUGAGAAUUAACCCAAAAUUGGUAUUGCCUAUCCAUGAACCUCUUACCUCAAGUUGGUCUGGACUGUGAGGUCGAAAGAUAAGUACUUGUUGCCAACUCAUUAGUUUAGUGGAAGAUCGAUAGAUUCUACUAGGUUAGCGGCUAAUUGAUUGAGUAGAACCAGAAAUAGGAUUUAGUUAUGACCACAAAAGCGAGCUAAUCACUCAUGCUUAGAUUUUAUUGAAUCACAUAUUAGUUUUCCAUCUUUUUAAUUUUAUGCAAGUUUAUUUCUUUUCUUAUAAAAACAAUUGUUUUUCACUUUAUGAUCAUCGUACUAUAAUUUAUUUAAGUUACUAAUUAGAUCUAUUUGCGUUUAGGUUAAUAUUAAUUUAUUACUUGUCUGCCUUGGGUACGAUCCUCGAGUACUCACCUACUUCGUUGUAAAACUAUAUUACAACCUGACUCGUAUACUUGAGGACACCGCCUCAAUUCAAUAUAUACUUUUAGCAAUAUUCACACUCUGGAUUCUAGUACCUCCGAAGGCGGUCACUUUCCGAAGUGGCGCGUAGUUUAUCUGCAAAUCAGUGGUGGCUCGUCUACAAUCCGGAGUGAUAUGUUAGACGAGUUCUGGGGAAUUCGUACGUGAGGUGUGUAGCGGAGUCGGGUAGGACUUUUCUGUUAAUUUGAAACUUCAAUGCAUUCAUAAGCACAUGCAUAUAAAAUUGUGAAUACCAAUAUAGUGAAGUGAAGCGUUUUAUGUGAAAAACCGUUAAUCUGAGGUGCCUUGUGGUUGUCUUUAAUCUCAGGAUUGCUAAUUCAUGUGCCUUAUUGGUUUGUUGUUUUAUUCUGAUUUUCUUGUGACUGAACUCACAUUGAGCUUCAUAGCUCACUGCCCUUUAGUUCCCAUCCUUGUAGAUAACCCACCAGGUUGGGAUGCGACAUAUGGAGGGCUCGAAAAAGUUUUAAUGUUAUGAAAGUAUUGUUAUGCUUAUUUUAAAAUUUAUGUUAUUUCGGAACUGUACUGUAUUAUUUAUUUUCUAGCAUUGGAUUCAUAUUUAGGUUUUGGUUUUAUAUUGCAAGCAUGACAUAUAAAUUUUUGUUUUUAAGAUGAUGAAAUAUGGAUUUCAAUUAAAUAUGCAUGAAAUAUAGAUGUUAGUAAAACUCAGGAAAAGCCAUUUUUCCGCUGAAAGGUCAUAAUUAAAUUUUGUCUAAUAACUACAAUAUAACUAAGUUCACAAUAGUUAUCACCUUUUACAAGAAAAUAUUAGUUUAAUUGUAUUUUAUAUACCCAUGAUUUGUUUUCUAAAAAUAGACAGAGUCUUUGUAAAGAUAAAAAAUGUUUUAAUGUGACUAUUUAAAAUGUUCGAUUUCUCUAGGCCAUCAUGGUGGCCGAUGUAAUCUCCCGACCUCGAGCCUACCGUCUAGGCCAAUUUGGGGAGGUUACAAUUUCAAUGCCAUAAAGUACUAAAACCAUAUUUUCAAUCAUCUUCAGCGUAGAUUAUUUCAUGUUGAUAUGAGUUGAAUUAAAAUAUUUAACUUGAACUUAUAAAUUUGCCAUAUUUAAGGGGAAAAAAGUGGUUUUACUUCAAACAAAAAGAAGAGAUAAAUUGUUACCAACUAAAUUGAUGAACAAGAACUUGAUAUGAUAUAUACGUGAAUACAAUAAAAAUACAUUAAUUGCGCUACAAUUGUGCAUAAUAUCCUUUUUAUUUAGUUAUAUUGUGUUUGUACAAAAUUAGUAAAAAUAAAAUACUAUGCAUCAAAUAUGUUCAAUUCUAAUUCUAAUUCUAAUUCUAGUUCCAAUUUGAGUUUGAACUUGAUUUGGAACACAAAAAUUGAGCAUGAUGUCAAGAAUGGGAAUCCAACUCAAGUCUUAUCAAAUAAACAAGCCUAAUUAAAUUUAGUAAAGCUACUUAAAGCAGUUUAAUCUUUAUCUCGUAUCAAGUUUAUAUUUUAAAAGUUAAACUAAAUGAAGUUAUAUUGGAGCAUUCAAUUCUCUAGGUUUCUAUGGAGAUUGAGAUUGAAUUUUUUGGCUCUGUUAAACCCCAUUAAAUAACUUUAAAUUUUUUAUUUUGAUACAAUAGUUAAUAUUAUUUCCAAACUCAUAUAACUGGUUGUGUAGGAAGGGGUCAGGUUUUUUUGUCUGCUUUCUCUCACUACUAUCUCCAAAAUUUUAAUGCUUUUAGUAUUUUAAUAUUUGAAAAUAAUUAAAUAUAUAUAUUUGACUAACAGGAAAAAUAUAAUUUAAUCUUUUCUUCUCCUAGACCACAAAUAAAAAAAGAAUUGGAACAUAUUUCCCAUUUGUUUCUAAACAGUUGGACAAAUAAUCAACUUAUUGGCAUCAUGCAUUCCAGAUUUGGUAACAUUAAUUUCCAUGACUACACUUAGAACAAAAUAAUGAUAAUUAGUAAACAAAAUCCUCAUAAAUCUUCUCAAGGAUGUUUUUCUGGUUUACUUUCCUUUUAGACAUAGUUUCAUAAGGAAAAAAAUAAAAACGUAAUAAUCUCAAAGAAUCCAAAGAAAUUAGUAUUCCUCCAUGCAACACAAAAUAAGAUACUAUAUAUAUUAAAUCCAUAAGCUAUAAAUUUCCACCAACAUUGUUAAUUAGAUAUAAAGAGAUGGCAAAGUUUUCAUUCAAUUUGUGUAUAUUUGCUGCCAUCUUAAUCUUUGCAACUCGUUAGUUUCUUCCUAUGCAGCUCUUUUAUUUCCUUUGGUAUGAAUAUUAUGUUUUUGUUUAAUUUAACACAAGGGAAUUUUUGUUGCAGACUCAGAGAUGAUGGCGGAGGCUAGAGGACCUGUUAUUUCGUGUAGAUGUAGCAAAACCGAAGACUGUCAGGGUAUUUGCACCGUGUGCCCCAACUAUAGCUGCAUUAAUAACCUUUGUACUUGCCUUUCAAACACACCUCCAUUUCCAUAGUCUUAGAAUCUACACACUCCAACAGUUGAAUGAAAUGGUGGGAUUUUUUUGUGUAAUUUGAAAUAAAUUAUCAUGCAAUGGAUCUAAUAAGAAAAAAUAUUGUAAUUAUUGUAAUUUUAAUUUUCUUUUUACCCUUCUCUACCCCUCCCCCCCUUCUAGUAGCGAAAAGUAUGUUACAUUUCAAAUAUAUAAAAAGAGUUACAAUCUUGUUUUAAA